CCUGAAUCCUAAGGACAUGCUGUGUCG
RNAcentral lists this non-coding RNA (27 nucleotides) under Rattus norvegicus (Norway rat). Lineage: Eukaryota; Metazoa; Chordata; Mammalia; Rodentia; Muridae. The record is from RNAcentral.